Molecule: ribosomal RNA, 605 nt
Filed under: Vibrio sp. enrichment culture clone OGS102
Lineage: Bacteria; Pseudomonadati; Pseudomonadota; Gammaproteobacteria; Vibrionales; Vibrionaceae
Description: bacterial SSU rRNA
Rfam family: Bacterial small subunit ribosomal RNA
Source: RNAcentral
GGCGUCGAGCGGCGGACGGGUGAGUAAUGCCUAGGAAAUUGCCUUGAUGUGGGGGAUAACCAUUGGAAACGAUGGCUAAUACCGCAUAAUGCCUACGGGCCAAAGAGGGGGACCUUCGGGCCUCUCGCGUCAAGAUAUGCCUAGGUGGGAUUAGCUAGUUGGUGAGGUAAUGGCUCACCAAGGCGACGAUCCCUAGCUGGUCUGAGAGGAUGAUCAGCCACACUGGAACUGAGACACGGUCCAGACUCCUACGGGAGGCAGCAGUGGGGAAUAUUGCACAAUGGGCGAAAGCCUGAUGCAGCCAUGCCGCGUGUAUGAAGAAGGCCUUCGGGUUGUAAAGUACUUUCAGUUGUGAGGAAGGGGGUGUCGUUAAUAGCGGCAUCUCUUGACGUUAGCAACAGAAGAAGCACCGGCUAACUCCGUGCCAGCAGCCGCGGUAAUACGGAGGGUGCGAGCGUUAAUCGGAAUUACUGGGCGUAAAGCGCAUGCAGGUGGUUCAUUAAGUCAGAUGUGAAAGCCCGGGGCUCAACCUCGGAACUGCAUUUGAAACUGGUGAACUAGAGUACUGUAGAGGGGGGUAGAAUUUCAGGUGUAGCGGUGAAAUG